Molecule: ribosomal RNA, 253 nt
Filed under: uncultured bacterium
Lineage: Bacteria
Description: partial 16S ribosomal RNA
Rfam family: Bacterial small subunit ribosomal RNA
Source: RNAcentral
UACGGAGGGUGCGAGCGUUAAUCGGAAUUACUGGGCGUAAAGCGUGCGCAGGCGGUUUUGUAAGCCCGAUGUGAAAUCCCCGGGCUUAACCUGGGAAUGGCAUUUGGGACUGCAAGGCUGGAGUUUGGCAGAGGAGACUGGAAUUCCCGGUGUAGCAGUGAAAUGCGUAGAUAUCGGGAGGAAUACCGAUGGCGAAGGCAGGUCUCUGGGCUAUAACUGACGCUCAUGCACGAAAGCGUGGGGAGCAAACAGG